This 439-nucleotide ribosomal RNA is filed under the name uncultured bacterium. Its description in RNAcentral is "bacterial SSU rRNA". It matches the Rfam family "Bacterial small subunit ribosomal RNA", at positions 954 to 1392 of the family's 1533-position model. The record is from RNAcentral.
GCAAAACGCGAAGAACCUUACCUGAUCUUGACAUAGUAAGAACUUUCCAGAGAUGGAUUGGUGCCUUCGGGAACUUACAUACAGGUGCUGCAUGGCUGUCGUCAGCUCGUGUCGUGAGAUGUUGGGUUAAGUCCCGCAACGAGCGCAACCCUUUUCCUUAUUUGCCAGCGGGUUAAGCCGGGAACUUUAAGGAUACUGCCAGUGACAAACUGGAGGAAGGCGGGGACGACGUCAAGUCAUCAUGGCCCUUACGACCAGGGCUACACACGUGCUACAAUGGUCGGUACAAAGGGUUGCUACCUAGCGAUAGGAUGCUAAUCUCAAAAAGCCGAUCGUAGUCCGGAUUGGAGUCUGCAACUCGACUCCAUGAGGUCGGAAUCGCUAGUAAUCGCGGAUCAGAAUGCCGCGGUGAAUACGUUCCCGGGUCUUGUACACACCG